UACGUAGGGGGCAAGCGUUGUCCGGAUUUAUUGGGCGUAAAGAGCUCGUAGGUGGUUUGUCGCGUUGUCCGUGAAAACUCACAGCUCAACUGUGGGCGUGCGGGCGAUACGGGCAGACUGGAGUACUGCAGGGGAGACUGGAAUUCCUGGUGUAGCGGUGGAAUGCGCAGAUAUCAGGAGGAACACCGGUGGCGAAGGCGGGUCUCUGGGCAGUAACUGACGCUGAGGAGCGAAAGCGUGGGGAGCGAACAGG
This 253-nucleotide ribosomal RNA is filed under the name uncultured bacterium. RNAcentral's name for it is "partial 16S ribosomal RNA". It matches the Rfam family "Bacterial small subunit ribosomal RNA", at positions 524 to 776 of the family's 1533-position model. The record is from RNAcentral.